This 374-nucleotide ribosomal RNA is filed under the name uncultured organism. RNAcentral describes it as "partial 16S ribosomal RNA". It matches the Rfam family "Bacterial small subunit ribosomal RNA", at positions 527 to 896 of the family's 1533-position model. The record is from RNAcentral.
GUAGGUGGCAAGCGUUGUCCGGAAUUAUUGGGCGUAAAGCGCGCGCAGGCGGUCCUUUAAGUCUGAUGUGAAAGCCCACGGCUCAACCGUGGAGGGUCAUUGGAAACUGGGGGACUUGAGUACAGAAGAGGAAAGCGGAAUUCCAAGUGUAGCGGUGAAAUGCGUAGAGAUUUGGAGGAACACCAGUGGCGAAGGCGGCUUUCUGGUCUGUAACUGACGCUGAGGCGCGAAAGCGUGGGGAGCAAACAGGGAUUAGAUACCCUGGUAGUCCACGCCGUAAACGAUGAGUGCUAAGUGUUAGGGGGGUUUUCCGCCCCCUUAGUGCUGCAGCUAACGCAUUAAGCACUCCGCCUGGGGAUACGGCCGCAAGGCUG